CUGGCUCAGGACGAACGCUGGCGGCGUGCCUAAUACAUGCAAGUCGAGCGGACAGAUGGGAGCUUGCUCCCUGAUGUUAGCGGCGGACGGGUGAGUAACACGUGGGUAACCUGCCUGUAAGACUGGGAUAACUCCGGGAAACCGGGGCUAAUACCGGAUGCUUGAUUGAACCGCAUGGUUCAAUUAUAAAAGGUGGCUUUUAGCUACCACUUACAGAUGGACCCGCGGCGCAUUAGCUAGUUGGUGAGGUAACGGCUCACCAAGGCAACGAUGCGUAGCCGACCUGAGAGGGUGAUCGGCCACACUGGGACUGAGACACGGCCCAGACUCCUACGGGAGGCAGCAGUAGGGAAUCUUCCGCAAUGGACGAAAGUCUGACGGAGCAACGCCGCGUGAGUGAUGAAGGUUUUCGGAUCGUAAAACUCUGUUGUUAGGGAAGAACAAGUACCGUUCGAAUAGGGCGGUACCUUGACGGUACCUAACCAGAAAGCCACGGCUAACUACGUGCCAGCAGCCGCGGUAAUACGUAGGUGGCAAGCGUUGUCCGGAAUUAUUGGGCGUAAAGCGCGCGCAGGCGGUUUCUUAAGUCUGAUGUGAAAGCCCCCGGCUCAACCGGGGAGGGUCAUUGGAAACUGGGGAACUUGAGUGCAGAAGAGGAGAGUGGAAUUCCACGUGUAGCGGUGAAAUGCGUAGAGAUGUGGAGGAACACCAGUGGCGAAGGCGACUCUCUGGUCUGUAACUGACGCUGAGGCGCGAAAGCGUGGGGAGCGAACAGGAUUAGAUACCCUGGUAGUCCACGCCGUAAACGAUGAGUGCUAAGUGUUAAGAGG
Molecule: ribosomal RNA, 830 nt
Filed under: Bacillus sp. (in: firmicutes)
Lineage: Bacteria; Bacillati; Bacillota; Bacilli; Caryophanales; Bacillaceae
Description: bacterial SSU rRNA
Rfam family: Bacterial small subunit ribosomal RNA
Source: RNAcentral